CUCCAUUUUUAUAUUAUUAUCCUUCGUUAUAAUCGAUCCCAGUAAAAGAGUUUACUAAUUUGGGCGGGCCACGUAUGACGAAAUAUUUAGUUAAGCGGAUAAUUGAAAAAAAAAAAAAAAGACUAUUUAGGGAAAAGGGGGUUAAGAUCGUGUUAAGAACGACUUUAAGACAGUGGAGUCGGAAACCUAGCGGAGAGAAGUUGCAGAGAAUAGCUAAGAAAUGAUAGUAUGCACUGUAUUCAGC
Cinara cedri is the source of this 244-nucleotide non-coding RNA. The record is from the annotation of a GenBank genome assembly. Lineage: Eukaryota; Metazoa; Arthropoda; Insecta; Hemiptera; Aphididae.